UCUGGCUGCUUCUGCUUCAGUAGAAAGAGCUCCGGCAGCAUCUAUUACUGAUGAGGCAGCUUCCGAGGGACCAUCGCAGGUAACAGAUCCUCAAGAAAAACCGCAGGAUCCGGGCACUCCGGAAACAAAUGUUCCAGGUACAUCAGCUGCUCAGGAAACGAAUGUUCCAGCAACAUUACCUGCUCAGGAAACAACUGUUCCAGCUACAUUACCAAUUGAGUGAGAGUGAUAAACUUGCUUAACUAGCAAUCUGAGUAAAAAUCCUUCUAUUAAUUCUUUCAAUUUU
RNAcentral lists this long non-coding RNA (286 nucleotides) under Citrus sinensis (sweet orange). RNAcentral describes it as "long non-coding RNA (CSIN_LNC002206)". The record is from RNAcentral. Lineage: Eukaryota; Viridiplantae; Streptophyta; Magnoliopsida; Sapindales; Rutaceae.